UCAAGAGAUGAGUUUGGGAACUACAAGGAGAAGAAGAAGGUGAAUUUGUGGUCAGGUCGUAAGUUAGCUUCCGGUCCAAGUCGUAGAGGUUGUGGCCACUGAAUUUUUAGUUGGGGGUAACAAGAUUAUAAUUUAAGAUAUUUAAUUUUAUUCUCUAAUUUAGGUUUCUUGGUAUCGUUUAGUAAUAUGAGUAUUGUAGUGGGUUCUUAUAACUUAAUGAAAGGAUUGGAGUUUUCAUACGAAAUUCGCUUCAUUAUAAAAUAUAUAAGAUUUUUUUAAUUUUGUUCAUUGCAUUGUUUAAGAACAAAAUGCUCUCUGUUUUCAUUUGCUUUACCGAAAAGAAGAUUUCUUUUUUUUUUUGGUCGGCACCGAAAAGAAGAUUUCUGUUUUCACAUCAAGGGCUCUUAUGACGUAAUGACAAAAAUUUUAAAACCGUAAAAAAAAAAAAUCAAAAUCUUAAAACCUUUUAAAAACAAAUUGUAUAAACUUGUAGUAUAUUAAAUGUACAAAACGAUGCGAAACCAAGUUGGACUUGUAGAAUCGGCUAACGAUCAAUGACUAGGUCAAAUGACAGGAUCCAAAAUCCGGUUAGUUUUCACAUUAUUUUGCAAAUCCAUUAUACAAGCUUUCUUUAAAAAAAAAUCGUUAGAACUUUUUUAAAAACAAAUAAUUAAAAUUGUAAAAACUUUAAAACCGUAAAAAAGAAAAAAAAAUCAAAAUCAAAAAACUUUUUAAAAACUUGUAUAUUAGAUCUACAAAACGAUGCGAAAACAAGUUGGACUUGUGGAAUCGACUAACGAUCAAUGACUAGGUCAAAUGACAAGAUCUAAAAUCCGGUUAGUUUUCACAUUAUUUUGCAAAUCCAUUAUACAAGCUUUCUUUUUAAAAAAAUCUUUAAAACCUUAUUAGAAACAAAUAGUUAAAUUUUAAGAACUUUAAAAACCGUAAAAAAGAAAAAAAUCAAAAUUAAAAACCUUUUUAAAAAUAAAUUAAAAACUUGUAUAUUAGAUCUACAAACGAUGCGAAAACAAGUUGGACUUGUGGAAUCGGCUAACGAUCAAUGACUAGGUCAAAUGACAAGAUCCAAAAUCCGGUUAGUUUUCACAUUAUUUUGCAAAUCUAUUAUCCAAGUUUUUUUUGAAAAAAAAAUCUUUAAAACCUUUUUAAAAAUAAAUAAUAAAAAUUUUAAAAACUUUAAAACCAUAAAAAAGAAAAAAAAAAAGAAAAAUCAAAAACCUUUUUAAAAACUUGUAUAUUAGAUCUACAAAACGAUGCAAAAACAAGUUGGAUUUGUGGAAUCGGCUAACGAUCAAUGACUAGGUCAAAUGACAGGAUCCAAAAUCCGGUUAGUUUUCAAAUUAUUUUGCAAAUCUAUUAUCCAAGCUUUCUUUAAAAAGACUUUUUUAAAAACAAACAAUUAAAAUUUUAAAAACUUUAAAACCAUAAAAAAGAAAAAAAAUUGAAAUUGAAAUUUUUUUUAAAACAAAUCAAAAACUUGUAUAUUAGAUCUACAAAAUGAUGCAAAAAACAAGUUGGAUUUGUGGAAUCGGCUAACGAUCAAUGACUAGGUCAAAUGACAGGAUCCAAAAUCCGGUUAGUUUUCACGUUAUUUUGUAAAUUUAUUAUCCAAGCUUUUUUAAAAAAAAAUCGAAAAAAGGAAAAAAAAAUCAAAACCUAACGCUUAAAAAUUUUAAAGCUCUAUUAAUUUUCUAAUUAUAAAAAGAGAACAUUAAAUGGAUAGAAAUUGACCUGUGGGUAGUCCUUUGUUCAUGGGCUUCCGAGUUCUUAUGGGCUGGAAACACUUUAUUAUUGGGCUUUCUGAUACCUUUUCACUGGGAAACGAAGAAUCCUUCUCAGAGUCUUCUCUCUGCGUCGUUGAUUCCUGUAAGCGAAGGAUUCAUCGUGGUGGAAGAAGAAGAGUCACCAUCAUCUUCCAUCACCGAUCUUGUUGGCGAAAAACAAACCAAGCGUCUAAUAAGUUGGAGCCAGAGAUGAGGGAAAAUCCACGGAAUUCGAACUUCGAAGAAAUCAAAGAUGAAAUUGUAGAGAAUAGAGGUAAAGAAAGCAGAAAUAGAAUAAGAGAAUCGAAAUUUUAGAGAAAUCGCGCAUCAACACUCUAUAACUCGUGUUUCUUCCUCUCUGUUUUUUUUCUCCGUGGUUUGUGAUUUUGAAACUAAAACAAUUAGACAAAGAGAAGAUGUGAGGCGCAAGAGACUAUUUAUAAACUCAUUUUCUUAUGUGUUUUGGGGUUUCAAAGUUUCCUUUUUUAAAAAAUUCUUCUCUGUUAUUUCCUUUUUUUAUUCUUCUGUGUUAUUUCCUUUUUUUUCUUCUCUGUGUUAUUUCCUUUUUCAAUUUAGUUUGAGAAAAUCCAAAGCAAAACGUGAAUGUUUUCCUUUUUUAACCCUUUGCUUAGAAUCUGCAUUUGUAUGCUUAUUAGAAUCUCUUAAUUAUCUAUCUAUAUUACAAAAAGCAAUGAAUGUUCUUGGUUAGCUUUAAAAAAAAA
RNAcentral lists this long non-coding RNA (2503 nucleotides) under Arabidopsis lyrata. RNAcentral's name for it is "long non-coding RNA (ALYR_LNC002245)". The record is from RNAcentral. Lineage: Eukaryota; Viridiplantae; Streptophyta; Magnoliopsida; Brassicales; Brassicaceae.